RNAcentral lists this ribosomal RNA (850 nucleotides) under uncultured bacterium. Its description in RNAcentral is "bacterial SSU rRNA". It matches the Rfam family "Bacterial small subunit ribosomal RNA", at positions 50 to 951 of the family's 1533-position model. The record is from RNAcentral.
GCUACCUGCAGUCGACGGUCCUUCGGGACAGUGGCGGACGGGUGAGUAACACGUGGGAACGUGCCCUUUGGUUCGGAAUAGCUCCGGGAAACUGGAAUUAAUACCGGAUGUGCCCUUCGGGGGAAAGAUUUAUCGCCAUUGGAGCGGCCCGCGUCUGAUUAGCUAGUUGGUGGGGUAAAGGCCCACCAAGGCUACGAUCAGUAGCUGGUCUGAGAGGAUGAUCAGCCACAUUGGGACUGAGACACGGCCCAAACUCCUACGGGAGGCAGCAGUGGGGAAUCUUGCGCAAUGGGCGAAAGCCUGACGCAGCCAUGCCGCGUGGAUGAUGAAGGUCUUAGGAUUGUAAAAUCCUUUCAGCGGGGACGAUAAUGACGGUACCCGCAGAAGAAGCCCCGGCUAACUUCGUGCCAGCAGCCGCGGUAAUACGAAGGGGGCUAGCGUUGCUCGGAAUUACUGGGCGUAAAGGGCGCGUAGGCGGAUGUUUAAGUCGGGGGUGAAAGCCCGGGGCUCAACCCCGGAAUUGCCUUCGAUACUGGACAUCUUGAGUACGGGAGAGGUGAGUGGAACUCCGAGUGUAGAGGUGAAAUUCGUAGAUAUUCGGAAGAACACCAGUGGCGAAGGCGACUCACUGGCCCGUUACUGACGCUGAGGCGCGAAAGCGUGGGGAGCAAACAGGAUUAGAUACCCUGGUAGUCCACGCCGUAAACGAUGAGUGCUAGUUGUCGGGCGGCAUGCCGUUCGGUGACGCAGCUAACGCAUUAAGCACUCCGCCUGGGGAGUACGGUCGCAAGAUUAAAACUCAAAGGAAUUGACGGGGGCCCGCACAAGCNGUGGAGCAUGUGGUUUAAUU